CCUACGGGUGGCAGCAGUCGAGAAUCAUUCACAAUGGGGGAAACCCUGAUGGUGCGACGCCGCGUGGGGGAAUGAAGGUCUUCGGAUUGUAAACCCCUGUCAUGUGGGAGCAAAUUAAAAAGAUAGUACCACACUAGGAAGAGACGGCUAACUCUGUGCCAGCAGCCGCGGUAAUACAGAGGUCUCAAGCGUUGUUCGGAAUCACUGGGCGUAAAGCGUGCGUAGGCUGUUUCGUAAGUCGUGUGUGAAAGGCGCGGGCUCAACCCGCGGACGGCACAUGAUACUGCGAGACUAGAGUAAUGGAGGGGGAACCGGAAUUCUCGGUGUAGCAGUGAAAUGCGUAGAUAUCGAGAGGAACACUCGUGGCGAAGGCGGGUUCCUGGACAUUAACUGACGCUGAGGCACGAAGGCCAGGGGAGCGAAAGGGAUUAGAUACCCUAGUAGUC
RNAcentral lists this ribosomal RNA (446 nucleotides) under uncultured bacterium. Its description in RNAcentral is "partial 16S ribosomal RNA". It matches the Rfam family "Bacterial small subunit ribosomal RNA", at positions 338 to 795 of the family's 1533-position model. The record is from RNAcentral.